AUACGGAGGUGGCAAGCGUUGUUCGGAUUUAUUGGGUGUAAAGGGUAUGUAGGUGGUUAGAUAAGUCGAGCGUGAAAUCCAUUGGCUCAACCAAUGAACUGCACUCGAAACUGUUUAACUUGAGUUCAGGAGAGGAAAGCGGAAUUCCAGGUGUAAGAGUGAAAUCUGUAGAGAUCUGGAGGAACACCAGUGGCGAAGGCGGCUUUCUGGACUGACACUGACACUGAAAUGCGAAAGCUAGGGGAGCAAACAGGAUUAGAAACCCUAGUAGUCC
RNAcentral lists this ribosomal RNA (274 nucleotides) under uncultured bacterium. RNAcentral's name for it is "partial 16S ribosomal RNA". It matches the Rfam family "Bacterial small subunit ribosomal RNA", at positions 523 to 796 of the family's 1533-position model. The record is from RNAcentral.